GAUAAACGCUGGCGGCGUGCCUAAUACAUGCAAGUCGAGCGAACGGACGAGAAGCUUGCUUCUCUGAUGUUAGCGGCGGACGGGUGAGUAACACGUGGAUAACCUACCUAUAAGACUGGGAUAACUUCGGGAAACCGGAGCUAAUACCGGAUAAUAUUUUGAACCGCAUGGUUCAAAAGUGAAAGACGGUCUUGCUGUCACUUAUAGAUGGAUCCGCGCUGCAUUAGCUAGUUGGUAAGGUAACGGCUUACCAAGGCAACGAUGCAUAGCCGACCUGAGAGGGUGAUCGGCCACACUGGAACUGAGACACGGUCCAGACUCCUACGGGAGGCAGCAGUAGGGAAUCUUCCGCAAUGGGCGAAAGCCUGACGGAGCAACGCCGCGUGAGUGAUGAAGGUCUUCGGAUCGUAAAACUCUGUUAUUAGGGAAGAACAUAUGUGUAAGUAACUGUGCACAUCUUGACGGUACCUAAUCAGAAAGCCACGGCUAACUACGUGCCAGCAGCCGCGGUAAUACGUANGUGGGCAGCGUUAUCCCGGAUUAUUGGGCGUAAGCGCGCGUAGCGGUUUUUUAGUCUGAUGUGAAAGCCCACGGCUCAACCGUGGAGGGUCAUUGGAAACUGGAAAACUUGAGUGCAGAAGAGGAAAGUGGAAUUCCAUGUGUAGCGGUGAAAUGCGCAGAGAUAUGGAGGAACACCAGUGGCGAAGGCGACUUUCUGGUCUGUAACUGACGCUGAUGUGCGAAAGCGUGGGGAUCAAACAGGAUUAGAUACCCUGGUAGUCCACGCCGUAAACGAUGAGUGCUAAGUGUUAGGGGGUUUCCGCCCCUUAGUGCUGCAGCUAACGCAUUAAGCACUCCGCCUGGGGAGUACGACCGCAAGGUUGAAACUCAAAGGAAUUGACGGGGACCCGCACAAGCGGUGGAGCAUGUGGUUUAAUUCGAAGCAACGCGAAGAACCUUACCAAAUCUUGACAUCCUUUGACAACUCUAGAGAUAGAGCCUUCCCCUUCGGGGGACAAAGUGACAGGUGGUGCAUGGUUGUCGUCAGCUCGUGUCGUGAGAUGUUGGGUUAAGUCCCGCAACGAGCGCAACCCUUAAGCUUAGUUGCCAUCAUUAAGUUGGGCACUCUAAGUUGACUGCCGGUGACAAACCGGAGGAAGGUGGGGAUGACGUCAAAUCAUCAUGCCCCUUAUGAUUUGGGCUACACACGUGCUACAAUGGACAAUACAAAGGGCAGCGAAACCGCGAGGUCAAGCAAAUCCCAUAAAGUUGUUCUCAGUUCGGAUUGUAGUCUGCAACUCGACUACAUGAAGCUGGAAUCGCUAGUAAUCGUAGAUCAGCAUGCUACGGUGAAUACGUUCCCGGGUCU
RNAcentral lists this ribosomal RNA (1369 nucleotides) under uncultured bacterium. Its description in RNAcentral is "bacterial SSU rRNA". It matches the Rfam family "Bacterial small subunit ribosomal RNA", at positions 28 to 1381 of the family's 1533-position model. The record is from RNAcentral.